This 2729-nucleotide long non-coding RNA is filed under the name Heterocephalus glaber (naked mole-rat). RNAcentral describes it as "lncRNA (ENSHGLG00100042188.1)". Lineage: Eukaryota; Metazoa; Chordata; Mammalia; Rodentia; Bathyergidae. The record is from RNAcentral.
GCGAAUUUAACUCGAGUUGGAGCUUGUGCAGAAGGAAGUCCUCGUGCCACUCUCAGUGCCACUGGGGUAGAGUUGGCCAGACGAGGCUGUGGGGGCACAGCUCAGGCGGCAGGGACGGGGACAGACACGAGGCAGGCCCUGCUGAGCCAUCGGAGCGUGGCAGUCCAGGCACAGGGGUCAUGUGCAUGGCGUCCUGGGUCCAGAGGACAGAGGCCCAGCUGCCCUGUGCGGAGUUUCGGGUGUCCUCCCGGGAGGGAGGUCCAAGAGCGCCCCGCAUCAGCCUGAGGGAGGGGAGGCUUCUGCGUCCUGGGAGCUGUGCAACCCCUGCCGGAACAAUCAAGAAACUGAGGCAGGGGAGAGAACGGGACUGACUGUGUCCACGAGGGUAAGCAGUGUCCAGUCAGGAAUGGAGGGGCCUGGCUUCCCAGGCCAGGCUCAGCCCUACAGGGUCUGCAAGGGGAAUGAAGGCCCCUCAGAUCUGGGGGAUCCCUGCCCCCCCCUCCUCUGUAGGCCAUUUCCUCUCUGCUUUAUGAGCUGCACCCAGAAGUGCAGCACACACUCACUUAUACUCCCUCACAUGCUAACACACUCACACACAUAGACUCACAGGGCCCAGGGCAGAGGAGCGGGACCCUGGGAGGUAAGGAAGAAGGAAGACGUUGGAGGCAGCUCUGCCAAGGCCCAGGGGCAUCCAGUCUCCUAGCAGCAAGCCAGGGUCAUUGCAUGGGAGGGGGGACUUUCCACGGUGAUGGGGUCCCCCCAGGCUCCCAGGGUCUGUCUGCCUGGGCUGGGGACACCCCCAGAGCAGCCCAAGAGGACACACUGGGGCCCAGAGCCCAUGGAUUGGGUCACGUGGGAGAGGAUGAGACCCCUCAGUGAGGGGGGCCCACAGGAGAGGAGGACUCAGUCCUGCUCUAUGAAUUAGAUGCUCGGCCCGGGUGAUGCAGGGUCCCGCGGCUCCUGAAAGUUUCUGGAAGUUUCUGAAACGCGGUCCUCCGUUGAUGGCCCAGGGCCCCUGUGUUGCUAGCACAUGGUUCCUCUUCACUGGGCUCCCCCUGAGCAGAGCAGCCCAGGGACUGGGCACCUAGAGCCCCGGGCCCCUCGUCCUAGGUCCAGGGCGAGACCAUCCCUGUGGACUCAUGGGGUCCUCAGUUGGACGUGGCUGGGGUCACUGUCCUGGCUGGGAGCCUGGAGCCCUCUGGAGUGAGCCGGACACCUGGGGCAGCAGAGGAAAGGGGACAAGGGAGACUGAAAUCCUUCAUCACGCAGGGCUGGCUCUUGCACCCUCUGGGCCUCUGGGGGACUCCACGCCCAGCCGCAGUUCAGGUGUCCUGCCAGGGCGCAGUGCUACUGCUGGCCACCAGGGGGAGCAGUCCCUACCGUGCUGCAGGGACCCUGCCUCCCACCCAGGGGCACUCCAGCCUGGAGGAGAUCCUGUGCCCAGGGCGAGCUGCCCGGGGCAGGACAGCUCGGGCUGCUCUCACCUCCUCUCUCGGCCCCAUGCCGAACACCACCAAACCAUGGCCAUGAGCCAAGUCCAGUGUCCCAGUCACCGGAAGCCGUUCCCUCACCCCCGUCACCUCCCUGGCCCCCGGCCCCUAACGUGCUCCUGUCUCCGUGGACGCGAAGCGGCGGCCCACGUCACCUGAGGCUCAGUGUGUGCCUUUCGGGGAGUGGCUUCUUCCGUUGGAGUGUCACCGUUCCCCUUGCUGUAGCGUGUGUCCAACGGCACCCUCUCCACGAGUCGGGCUCUGUGCUGUGGACGACACCACAGCGCGUGGUUUCCCCCACUCACCCCUGGGGGGCGCUGCGGUUGUCCCUACUUGAGGCUGUCGGGGGCCUGAGGGCGUGGCUGGAGAAGUGGGCGGGGCCGUCAGAGACCCCAGGUUGGCACCGGCGACUCUCAGGACCCUCGUGCAGACCUCAGGAGCUCCCGAGAGUCGGACGGCUGGAGGAGAGCAGACGCUCGGGAGGAGCCCGCUGUCUCGUCUCCUCACGGUAGCCCGCCCUGGCUUUUGCAGACCCAAGAAAGAACCUGGAAUACUUUUGUUUGGCGACCCACGUCUAAAGGAAUGACCUGACAGCACGCUGGCGAAGCCAGCCAGGAGCUGACAGAGGAGCGAGCCUUCGUGUGGCGUUUCAGCUUCUCUUGGGGGAGCACCAGGAAUGACGCUGCAGGCCGUGAGGCAGACGGCACGGCACCGGCACUCUGGGCCGGACCAUUGCAGUAUCGUCCCAGCUGCUCCUCUGCUUCUGUGCUCCUCACGACCUGUCCUCGGUGAGCACGGGGCCGACCCUUUAAGAGUGCCUCACCCUCACUCUGUCAAGGCCUCCAGGGCCCCAUUCCCCUCAGAGGAGAGCCUGGGGUCCUUGUAACACCCUCAGCCCCACAGCGGGCCCUGCCCUCCCGGGCCCGAGUUUCUGCCCGUCCUCCCCAUACCUUCCCGGCACGUGCCAGGCCCCGGCGCCCCCAGGCCAGCACUGACGUCCCUCCCCCAGGCGCCUCUCCCGCCGGCCGUUCAUGCCUCACUUCCCCCACUAUCUUCAGUUCUCUGAGCAAAUGCCGCCUUGGUGAGGCUGACCGCACCCUUCCAUCUAAAACACAAACACCCCUUGUCCCCCCAGCCACUGUCCGACCUGUUCCAUUUGCUUUUCCCCCAUAGCCCUUAUGACCUUUAAUAAAAAUGAUAUAUAAUUAUAUGAAUCAGCGAUCAAUCAGGAGCGAGAAC